UGCAAGUUGCACGAGAGUUUUUAACUCUAGUAGCGGACGGGUGAGUAACACGUGAGAAUCUGCCCUUAGGAAGAGGAUAACAGCUGGAAACGGUUGCUAAUACUCUAUAUGCUGAAAAGUGAAAGAAUGUAUUUGCCUAAGGAGGAGCUCGCGUCUGAUUAGCUAGUUGGUAAGGUAAAGGCUUACCAAGGCGACGAUCAGUAGCUGGUUUGAGAGGACGAUCAGCCACACUGGGACUGAGACACGGCCCAGACUCCUACGGGAGGCAGCAGUGGGGAAUUUUCCGCAAUGGGCGAAAGCCUGACGGAGCAAUACCGCGUGAGGGAUGAAAGCCUUUGGGUUGUAAACCUCUUUUCUCAAGGAAGAAGUUCUGACGGUACUUGAGGAAUAAGCAUCGGCUAACUCUGUGCCAGCAGCGGCGGUAAUACAGAGGAUGCAAGCGUUAUCCGGAAUCACUGGGCAUAAAGCGUCUGUAGGUUGUUUAGUAAGUCUGCUGUUAAAUACUAGGGCUUAACCCUAGGCCAGCAGUGGAAACUGCUAGACUUGAGUGUGGUAGAGGUAGAGGGAAUUCCUGGUGUAGCGGUGAAAUGCGUAGAUAUUAGGAAGAACACCAAUGGCGAAAGCACUCUACUGGGCCAUAACUGACACUAAGAGACGACAGCUAGGGGAGCAAAUGGGAUUAGAUACCCCAGUAGUCCUA
RNAcentral lists this ribosomal RNA (700 nucleotides) under uncultured phototrophic eukaryote. RNAcentral describes it as "bacterial SSU rRNA". It matches the Rfam family "Bacterial small subunit ribosomal RNA", at positions 56 to 798 of the family's 1533-position model. The record is from RNAcentral.